This 111-nucleotide ribosomal RNA is filed under the name marine eukaryotic metagenome. The record is from RNAcentral.
GGUGGUAUUAGCGAGAGAGAUACACCCGUUCCCAUACCGAACACGGCAGUUAAGCCUCUCAGCGCCGAUGGUACUGCCUUGGAGACGAGGUGGGAGAGUAGGUCGCCGCCG